UACAAUAGCUCAAAACAUCUCUGAUGGAACAUGGGAGGAAAUUACUGGCAAAGACUUGCAGGGCUUCCCUAGACAACUCUUUGGCUUGGACUGUGGCAUCUUCAUGAUAAUGGCCGCCUUUUAUGUCACCUUGGAUGCAGAAUUUGACUACUCUGUGCAUGACAUGUCAGUCUUGCGGAGGUGGUGGUGUCUGUUGAUACUGGAGAACAAAUCCCUUGACAGGUAUGUAAUCUUUUCCACAUGGCCAUGUCUUGCUUUUUGGUAGAUAGCCCAUACAC
Fundulus heteroclitus (mummichog) is the source of this 278-nucleotide long non-coding RNA. RefSeq lists it as uncharacterized. Lineage: Eukaryota; Metazoa; Chordata; Actinopteri; Cyprinodontiformes; Fundulidae. The transcript has 4 exons. The record is from RefSeq and is a predicted model, not a curated record.